AUAAAAUUUACUGUGAAUAUUCCAACAACAUUUCGAUCGGCAAAAUAUUUGAUGUCACAUUGGAAAUAAAUUUCAUCAUUCGAUUUGGAACACAGAGUCACUUUGUUGAGUUCUUCAAGAAUGAAAAGAAAAAGAGAUAACGAGAAAAUAAUUUAGUUGCAAUAAAAUAUGGCUUGCAAACAAUACUUCGACCCAAGCAUGCAGCAUUUGUGACGCAAAUAUUGUUUGAGCGCAGUCUUCAAAUGACGGAAGUUGCCACAUUGGCCUCUCUUUUGAUUUUAUUCAAGGAAAACAUCACAAUACCAAACACGCGUACUCAGAAGUAAAGAAGAGAUAAAGAGGCGACAAAAUUAACUGGAUUUUGAUCAUUACAUGAAGUCGAACCAAGUAAAUGAUAACAUCGUCGUGACAGUGACCUACAACAUGCCGUCAAUUAUCUCUGGUGCAUCGGAGAUGCCACCCAAUCGGUCAUUUGGUUUGAGGAGACGGAAAAGAUGUCCAGGAUCGCGGAAAUUUUUGGUGAGCGUAUUGCCAAGAAUGAUUUCCAGUGAACACAAAACCGCAUCGAUUCAAAGUGUGCUACGGUUGCAAAGCGAAACCGAUUGCUGGACUACCGGACUCAGUCGCUAGUCUACUAGACAUAAUUGUGGUAAUAGCAACUUUACAAAAAUUGGCCAUUAAAUGUUCAAGAUGAUGAUGCUGCUCUACAGACCGCGAUAUUGUUGCUGCAAAAUGCAUUAUGCU
Molecule: long non-coding RNA, 744 nt
Organism: Contarinia nasturtii (swede midge)
Lineage: Eukaryota; Metazoa; Arthropoda; Insecta; Diptera; Cecidomyiidae
Exons: 3
Source: RefSeq, a predicted model, not a curated record